RNAcentral lists this ribosomal RNA (495 nucleotides) under uncultured bacterium. Its description in RNAcentral is "partial 16S ribosomal RNA". It matches the Rfam family "Bacterial small subunit ribosomal RNA", at positions 29 to 506 of the family's 1533-position model. The record is from RNAcentral.
AUGAACGCUGGCGGCGUGCCUAAUACAUGCCAGUCGAGCGAACAGACGAGGAGCUUGCUCCUCUGACGUUAGCGGCGGACGGGUGAGUAACACGUGGAUAACCUACCUAUAAGACUGGGAUAACUUCGGGAAACCGGAGCUAAUACCGGAUAAUAUAUUGAACCGCAUGGUUCAAUAGUGAAAGACGGUUUUGCUGUCACUUAUAGAUGGAUCCGCGCCGCAUUAGCUAGUUGGUAAGGUAACGGCUUACCAAGGCAACGAUGCGUAGCCGACCUGAGAGGGUGAUCGGCCACACUGGAACUGAGACACGGUCCAGACUCCUACGGGAGGCAGCAGUAGGGAAUCUUCCGCAAUGGGCGAAAGCCUGACGGAGCAACGCCGCGUGAGUGAUGAAGGUCUUCGGAUCGUAAAACUCUGUUAUUAGGGAAGAACAAAUGUGUAAGUAACUAUGCACGUCUGGACGGUACCUAAUCAGAAAACCACGGCUAACUACGU